GAUGAAGAACGUAGCGAAAUGCGAUAAGUAAUGUGAAUUGCAGAAUUCAGUGAAUCAUCGAAUCUUUGAACGCACCUUGCGCCCCUUGGACUUCUGAAGGGCAUGCCUGUUUGAGUAUCAUGAACACCUCAACUCCUUAUGGUCUUCCAUGAUGAGCUUGGACUUUGGGGGUUUUGCUGGCCUACAGUCAGCUCCUCUAAAAUAAAUCAGCUUACCGGUGUUUGGUGGGUAUCAUGGGUGUGAUAACUAUCUACGCUCGUGGUUUUCCACCAGGUAACCUUCAGCAGUGGAGGUUCACUGGAGCUCAUAGAUGUCUCUCCUCAGCGAGGACAGCCCUUUGAAUGUUUGAUCUCAAAUCAGGUAGGACUACCCGCUGAACUUAAGCAUAUCAAUAAGCGGAGGA
Molecule: unclassified non-coding RNA, 403 nt
Filed under: soil metagenome
Description: partial contains 5.8S ribosomal RNA, internal transcribed spacer 2, and large subunit ribosomal RNA
Rfam family: 5.8S ribosomal RNA (bases 1-120)
Source: RNAcentral